This 671-nucleotide long non-coding RNA is filed under the name Brassica rapa (field mustard). RNAcentral describes it as "long non-coding RNA (BRAP_LNC002520)". The record is from RNAcentral. Lineage: Eukaryota; Viridiplantae; Streptophyta; Magnoliopsida; Brassicales; Brassicaceae.
AUAAGUUGGUGCUUCAACCCAUUAUUCACUUCAACCAAAAAAAUUGCUACGGUUAUCACCGAACAAAAGAAAAACACACUAGAUUUCAUGUAAUAUUAUGUAACCAAAAUAAAUUUCAUAUAUUGUUAUCUAUUAUUGUUCAGAGCAAUUUCAUCUUGUUCAAAGCACGGGUCUUUACCUUGUAUUAUCUAAAAUUCAAGAUGACUGAACCACUCUUAAAAUUCAAGAUUACUCAAAUAUAACUGCGAAACCACUCUCCAAGAAUCAAAUAGUUUAAUUAAAGUGCAUAUGACAAAAAGAGUUAGAAGAAAAAUAUUUUUUUAAAUAGAUAAUUAUAUAUUCUGAUAGAACGACGAUCUGUUUUUUUUUUUUUUUGAAGCUUUGUAUCCUUUGCUCAACCCCAAAGGUCAACAUGUUAAUACUAUGUGCUACAGCACAAUUAUUAUAUUCGAGAGAAAAGCAUUUUCCCCACCCGAAUCUUAAUUUAUUUUGUGAAAAAGGGGCCACUGAAUAUCAUAAUCAACCUUUUGGAAAUAUAAUAUGAAUAAUAUAUUUUAAUAUGAAUAAUUAUGUCAUGAAAUUAACUUAGAUCAUGCUUAUAUGGACCACAUUUUAAAUUGAAAAGAAGUUCCACCAUUAGUUUCGCAUGUUCCAAGGGUUGUGUAGUUUCA